GCACUGAAGUCAUUCUUAAAAAAGGAAGAUGUGUUUGGAGAUUUGCCGACCGGAUACGGCAAAAGUUUAAUCUGUCAAUCAGCUUCAUUAUCUUCUUCGUUGCG
Molecule: long non-coding RNA, 104 nt
Organism: Etheostoma spectabile (orangethroat darter)
Lineage: Eukaryota; Metazoa; Chordata; Actinopteri; Perciformes; Percidae
Exons: 3
Source: RefSeq, a predicted model, not a curated record